GUAUGGCUCAGUUGGUAGAGCGCACCCUUGGUAAGGGUGAGGUCCCCAGUUCGACUCUGGGUAUCAGCACCA
RNAcentral lists this transfer RNA (72 nucleotides) under Enterobacter cloacae. Its description in RNAcentral is "tRNA-Thr". It matches the Rfam family "tRNA". Rfam says of the family: Transfer RNA (tRNA) molecules are approximately 80 nucleotides in length. The record is from RNAcentral. Lineage: Bacteria; Pseudomonadati; Pseudomonadota; Gammaproteobacteria; Enterobacterales; Enterobacteriaceae.